RNAcentral lists this ribosomal RNA (1353 nucleotides) under Burkholderia sp. RNAcentral's name for it is "bacterial SSU rRNA". It matches the Rfam family "Bacterial small subunit ribosomal RNA", at positions 99 to 1424 of the family's 1533-position model. Lineage: Bacteria; Pseudomonadati; Pseudomonadota; Betaproteobacteria; Burkholderiales; Burkholderiaceae. The record is from RNAcentral.
CGAACGGGUGAGUAAUACAUCGGAACGUGUCCUGGAGUGGGGGAUAGCCCGGCGAAAGCCGGAUUAAUACCGCAUACGCUCGGGAGAGGAAAGCGGGGGAUCUUUCGGGACCUCGCGCUCAAGGGGCGGCCGAUGGCAGAUUAGGUAGUUGGUGGGGUAAAGGCCUACCAAGCCGACGAUCUGUAGCUGGUCUGAGAGGACGACCAGCCACACUGGGACUGAGACACGGCCCACACUCCUACGGGAGGCAGCAGUGGGGAAUUUUGGACAAUGGGCGCAAGCCUGAUCCAGCAAUGCCGCGUGUGUGAAGAAGGCCUUCGGGUUGUAAAGCACUUUUGUCCGGAAAGAAAACCUCGUGGCUAAUAUCCGUGAGGGAUGACGGUACCGGAAGAAUAAGCACCGGCUAACUACGUGCCAGCAGCCGCGGUAAUACGUAGGGUGCGAGCGUUAAUCGGAAUUACUGGGCGUAAAGCGUGCGCAGGCGGUUACUGGGCGUAAAGCGUGCGCAGGCGGGCUUAACCUGGGAACUGCAUUGGUGCCUGCUUAACCUGGGAACUGCAGAGGGGGGUGCAGCGCUGGAGUAUGCAGUGAAAUGCGUGAAUUCCACGUGUAGCAGUGAAAUGCGUAGAGAUGUGCUGGGCCAAUACUGGAGAAGGCGGCCCCCUGGGCCAAUACUGACGCUCAUGCACGAAAGCGUGGGGAGCAAACAGGAUUAGAUUCCAUUGUAGUCCACGCCCUAAACGAUGUCAACUGGUUGUCGGGCCUUCAUUGGCUUGGUAACGUAGCUAACGCGUGAAGUUGACCGCCUGGGGAGUACGGUCGCAAGAUUAAAACUCAAAGGAAUUGACGGGGACCCGCACAAGCGGUGGAUGAUGUGGAUUAAUUCGAUGCAACGCGAAAAACCUUACCUACCCUUGACAUGUAUGGAAUCCUGCCGAGAGGCGGGAGUGCCCGAAAGGGAGCCAUAACACAGGUGCUGCAUGGCUGUCGUCAGCUCGUGUCGUGAGAUGUUGGGUUAAGUCCCGCAACGAGCGCAACCCUUGUCCCUAGUUGCUACGCAAGAGCACUCCAGGGAGACUGCCGGUGACAAACCGGAGGAAGGUGGGGAUGACGUCAAGUCCUCAUGGCCCUUAUGGGUAGGGCUUCACACGUCAUACAAUGGUCGGAACAGAGGGUUGCCAAGCCGCGAGGUGGAGCCAAUCCCAGAAAACCGAUCGUAGUCCGGAUCGCACUCUGCAACUCGGGUGCGUGAAGCUGGAAUCGCUAGUAAUCGCGGAUCAGCAUGCCGCGGUGAAUACGUUCCCGGGUCUUGUACACACCGCCCGUCACACCAUGGGAGUGGGUUUUACCAGA